AUUGAACGCUGGCGGCAGGCUUAACACAUGCAAGUCGAGCGGAGCGGCGGACGGGUGAGUAAUUCCUAGGAAUCUGCCUGGUCGUGCGGGUUAACGUCCGCAAAGGGGCGCUAAUACCGCACACUAUCAGAUGAGCCUAGGUCGGAUUAGCUCGUUGGUGGGGUAAAGGCCUACCAAGGCGACGAUCCGUAUCUGGUCUGAGAGGAUGAUCAGUCACACUGGAACUGAGACACGGUCCAGACUCCUACGGGAGGCAGCAGUGGGGAAUAUUGGACAAUGGGCGAAAGCCUGAUCCAGCCAGGCCGCGUGUGUGAAGAAGGUCUUCGGAUGGUAAAGCACUUUAAGUUGGGAGGCGUUACCAACAGAAUAAUCACCGGCUAACUUCGUGCCAGCCGCCGCGGGAAUAC
This 407-nucleotide ribosomal RNA is filed under the name uncultured bacterium. RNAcentral describes it as "partial 16S ribosomal RNA". It matches the Rfam family "Bacterial small subunit ribosomal RNA", at positions 30 to 526 of the family's 1533-position model. The record is from RNAcentral.